AUCACGUUGAAACACCGCUUCCCGUAAGAUCCCCGAAGUUAAAACCACGUCGAGCCAGGUCGGUACCGAAAUGGGUGACCAAUUGAGAAUAUGAGGUGCUGUAAG
This is a non-coding RNA of Acanthosepion pharaonis, 105 nucleotides long. The record is from the annotation of a GenBank genome assembly. NCBI's taxonomy places the organism in Eukaryota, Metazoa, Mollusca, Cephalopoda, Sepiida, Sepiidae.